This 27-nucleotide non-coding RNA is filed under the name Mus musculus (house mouse). RNAcentral also lists the same sequence under 1 other name. Lineage: Eukaryota; Metazoa; Chordata; Mammalia; Rodentia; Muridae. The record is from RNAcentral.
UGUUAAGUUCUAAAGGUUCUUUCUGAA